Brienomyrus brachyistius is the source of this 567-nucleotide non-coding RNA. Lineage: Eukaryota; Metazoa; Chordata; Actinopteri; Osteoglossiformes; Mormyridae. The record is from the annotation of a RefSeq genome assembly.
UAAAGAGGGACAUUCGAGUCACUUCACAGUCACUGCCGCACAGACAUGAUGGCUUUACUGGGAAUGUUCCUCUGGACACUGGCCCUGUCUGUUCAAGGCUCUGGGGCUCAGAUCAUCCUGACUCAGAGUCCAGCAGUGGAAUCGGUCGCUGUAGGAGUCACUGUCACUCUGAACUGCCAAUCCAGCAGCUCUUCAGUUGGGAGCUACUUAGUUUGGUAUCAGCAGAAACCUGGAGAAAGUCCCAAACUUCUCUUCUCCUCAGUGGGUAGCAAGGUGUCUGGGAUUCCAGACCGUUUCUCCGAUAGCCGUGAUGGCACAAAUUUCAGGCUGAAAAUCAGUGGAGUGCAGGCUGAAGAUGCAGGAGAUUAUUACUGUCAACAGCAUGCUAGCUGGCCGUACACACAGUGACACAGGCCAGUACAAAAACCUCACUCAGCUGUGCAUGCGCUCAGUCUAGGAAAACUACUAUCAAAACUGGCAAGAUAUAUCCAGACUACUGUAAUUCACUGGAUGCUAAUGCUCCUUUUUACCCUGAGACCCUGUAUUGGAUGGUGGGUGCUUAUUUAU